UACGGAGGGUCCAAGCGUUAUCCGGAAUCAUUGGGUUUAAAGGGUGCGUAGGCGGCUCAUUAAGUAGGGUGUGAAAGCCCCCGGCUCAACCGGGGAAUUGCGCUCUAAACUGAUGGGCUGGAGUGAGAUAGGGGUGUGUGGAACUUCCGGUGGAGCGGUGAAAUGUGUUGAUAUCGGAAGGAACGCCGGUGGCGAAAGCGACACACUGGGUCUCAACUGACGCUGAGGCACGAAAGCCAGGGGAGCAAACGGG
Molecule: ribosomal RNA, 253 nt
Filed under: uncultured bacterium
Lineage: Bacteria
Description: partial 16S ribosomal RNA
Rfam family: Bacterial small subunit ribosomal RNA
Source: RNAcentral